Molecule: microRNA, 22 nt
Filed under: Oreochromis niloticus (Nile tilapia)
Lineage: Eukaryota; Metazoa; Chordata; Actinopteri; Cichliformes; Cichlidae
Description: oni-miR-10857
Source: miRBase by way of RNAcentral
CUGCACUGACGAGCUUUCACCC